Molecule: ribosomal RNA, 250 nt
Filed under: uncultured prokaryote
Description: partial 16S ribosomal RNA
Rfam family: Bacterial small subunit ribosomal RNA
Source: RNAcentral
UACGUAGGGGGCAAGCGUUAUCCGGAUUCACUGGGUGUAAAGGGAGCGUAGACGGAAUAACAUGCCAGAUGUGAAAAUCCGGGGCUCAACCCCGGACCUGCAUUUGGAACUGUCGAUCUGGAGUACCGGGUUGGCAGGCGGAAUUCCUGGUGUAGCGGUGAAAUGCGUAGAUAUCAGGAGGAACACCGGUGGCGAAGGCGGCCUGCUGGACGGAUACUGACGUUGAGGCUCGAAAGCGUGGGGAGCAAAC